This 251-nucleotide ribosomal RNA is filed under the name uncultured bacterium. RNAcentral describes it as "partial 16S ribosomal RNA". It matches the Rfam family "Bacterial small subunit ribosomal RNA", at positions 524 to 776 of the family's 1533-position model. The record is from RNAcentral.
GACAGGGCGCACGGGCGUAUUCGUUAUGAUUGGGUGUAAAGGGUACGUAGGUUGCUGUUGAAAUUCUUGGCUCAAAACGCGGAGUGUUCCUACGCGCAGCCCUUUAAAGAUCCAGCUAGAGUCGAGUUGAGGUUGGGGAAAUUUCUCAUGUAGGGGUAAAAUCCUGCAAUAUGAGAAGGAACACCAGCAAGCAAAGGCGCCUUUCUAUUCUCGACUGACGCUAAGGUACGGAAGCCUGGGGAGCAAACAGA